AUGGAUGUCAAACGCCUAAACUAUGGGGUUCUCGCGCUGAUUCCUAAAGUCCAGGGUGCGGAUAAUAUUAGACAAUACCGACCUUUAACCUUCAUCAAUGUGAACUUUUGCCUUCUGGCCAAAGGGUUCGUGAAAUGGCUCGCUCCGGUAGCUAACAAGGUGAUUGACACUAGCCAAUCGGCCUUCAUCUGUGGGAGAAGCAUAUUAGACGGGGUGGCGGUUCUACAUGAGGUUCUACAAAAGAUCAGACUAACCAAGGAAGAGGUGUUUAUCCUCAAGAUUGACUUCGAGAAAGCAUACGAUAGGGUCCGGUGGGAUUUUCUCGAGGAGGUUUUGAGCCAAAAGGGCUUUGACCCUCUUUGGACCAGCUGGAUGCGGCAACUGGUCUGGGGCGGCCAGACGGUUGUAAAUAUUAACGGCCACAUCAGGUCGUUCUUUAGGAACAAACAGGGAGUCUGCCAAGGUGACCCAAUCUCGCCUCUCCUAUUCAAUAUCAUUGUGGAUGCCCUGGCAAGGAACCUCGACCGUGCAAAGGCAGCCGGACAUAUCUCGGGAGUGGCGUCUGGUAUCAUCCCAGGAGGGAUUUCUCAUCUCCAAUACGCCGAUAAUACGUCAAUCUUUAUUAGAAACUCUGAGGGAAAUUAUUAA
This 648-nucleotide ribosomal RNA is filed under the name Triticum aestivum (bread wheat). Its description in RNAcentral is "partial small subunit ribosomal RNA". Lineage: Eukaryota; Viridiplantae; Streptophyta; Magnoliopsida; Poales; Poaceae. The record is from RNAcentral.